Molecule: ribosomal RNA, 403 nt
Filed under: Fusobacteriota bacterium
Lineage: Bacteria; Fusobacteriati; Fusobacteriota
Description: Fusobacteria bacterium partial 16S ribosomal RNA
Rfam family: Bacterial small subunit ribosomal RNA
Source: RNAcentral
UGGGGAAUCUUGCACAAUGGGGGAAACCCUGAUGCAGCGACGCCGCGUGAGCGAUGAAGGUUUUCGAAUCGUAAAGCUCUGUCCUAUGGGAAGAUAAUGACGGUACCAUGGGAGGAAGCCCCGGCUAACUACGUGCCAGCAGCCGCGGUAAUACGUAGGGGGCGAGCGUUGUCCGGAAUUACUGGGCGUAAAGGGUUCGCAGGCGGCAUGGCAAGUCCGAUGUAAAAGGCGAAGGCUCAACCUUCGUAAGCAUCGGAAACUGUCAAGCUUGAGUGAAGGAGAGGCAAGUGGAAUUCCUAGUGUAGCGGUGGAAUGCGUAGAUAAUAGGAGGAAUACCGGUGGCGAAGGCGACUUGCUGGACUUCAACUGACGCUGAGGAACGAAAGCGUGGGUAGCAAACAGG